CCUGCCGUCAGGGUGCCUGCGUCGCUGACGAUUUCACCGCCUCAAAACUCCAUCGAUAUAUCCAUGGCUACAAAGAUACGAUCUCCACAGCUUCGCUUCGGAAAACAUACGGAAGAAGCGAAAUGAAGAAGGGGAUGACUUGAGAUAUCAGUGUGAUGGACUAAUUCUCAUUUUCAGUUCCUUAAAUGUACUUUCUUAUCAAAUACUUGCCGGUGCUAGUCUAUUAACUCGAUAGCCAUCUUGGAGAAAUGGUAGAGAAUCACCAGGCAAGGUAAACUAUUUGAGUAAUUUCAACGUUUUAAGGAAUUUGUUUGGUGGUUUGUGCCUCUGUUGUGCCAGUUUACUCAUCUUCUCUACUCUUCAUCUUACCCAUUACGAUGCGGAGCACGUAACACAAGAGCAUAUGAUAAGCUGCUUAAGGGGGGAGGGAUUAGUGAAAGCUCUGAAUUUCUCAAAGCCAUGGAAAGACGGUUAGUGUAAUAGUACUCCUUAGUAGAACCUCUAUUUCAAAAGUACAAGUUAUGGAUUUUGUUGUCAAAUGGGUUGGAAGGGUAUGCUAGAUGUGCCUUAGGUUUAUGAAAAUGGUUAAAACCUCUUUGUUCCUAGCUUUUCAGAUAAGUCUGCUGGGCAAGAGAGCUGCAAAUCUCAUAGGAGAAACUUCUCCAAAGUCUUAAAUUUCAUUUUCUAUGAGCUCCAGAAGAUUGGUUUUUGAACCCUUAGAUGUCCAGGAAAGAAAAAUUGCAAUAAUCCCUGCUGCAUACAUUUAGGAUCUUGUCUCAUAGUGUCCAGCCCGAAGAUUAUCAUUCGAUAGGAGUUGUAGUGCUGGAGCAACAAAUUUUGCACCACUUAGUAUAACUCCUACUGGUGUAUGCUACAGAGUAUCUACAUGACAAGUUUGUCUAGCAUUGCUUAAUUUCCUCUUUAUUUUAGCUAAACUUUACUCACUUGCCAUAUUCUGUCUCUGGUUAGGCAACAUCAAGCUGCAGUAUUAUUACUUCCCAACUUCUUUGUUUUCUAAUUCUUCAUAUUUGCAAGUAUUUUCAAUGUUUAUAGUUUAUGAGUUGCCAAUAACUCCUUUGUAGCACUUUGGCUAGGGUUAGAUAUGUAUGUAUUAUAUUGUGUACUAACUCUCACAGAUUAAGUAGGAGAAUACUCGUCUUCUAAACUUAUAUGGUAUCAGAAUUUAG
This 1187-nucleotide long non-coding RNA is filed under the name Linum usitatissimum (flax). RNAcentral describes it as "long non-coding RNA (LUSI_LNC004441)". Lineage: Eukaryota; Viridiplantae; Streptophyta; Magnoliopsida; Malpighiales; Linaceae. The record is from RNAcentral.